Pyrus x bretschneideri (Chinese white pear) is the source of this 1071-nucleotide RNA transcript. It is a transcript of the gene named threonine dehydratase-like, with no coding region annotated. The record is from RefSeq and is a predicted model, not a curated record. Lineage: Eukaryota; Viridiplantae; Streptophyta; Magnoliopsida; Rosales; Rosaceae. The transcript has 2 exons.
UCCAACAUCAAACUAGUCCAAAAUAAAAAGGCCGAAUUAAUGAGUUUCCAGUUCUUCCAUUACACAGUGAGAGAGCAAACCCACAUAAUUACAACCACCAUCUCGCUCAGCUCUCUCUCAAUACAUUUAUGUAUAGGUCUCUUUCUCUCUCUCUCUAUAUGGAUCAUGAACAAUUGCAUACGUCUGGCGAAGAUCGAGGUCGAACAUGGCGAACUAUCUUGCUCAGUUCCAGUCGAUCAAGAGCUCCCUCGAUCAUAUCCUGAUUGCAGUUAAAUCUCCCAAUUCGAUAUUCCUAUUCAAUUUUCCGGUUCCCUUUUUCUUCUCUAAUUUCAAAUCAAUCAUUCUUGUUUUGCUUUGUUGUUAAUCAAUUACUCAUUUGAAGUUAGUGAUCUUUUUGAUUGAGAUUUGGGGGCUCUUGGUGUUAAUUAGGGCUAUUCGGUAGUAGAACAAAAAAUGCGUAUUUGGCUGAGUACGGGGAUAGCUAAUCAGGUAUUGAAGUGAUGCAGCAAAUGCAAAUUUUUGGUGGGAGGUCGAUCAUCCUCUUUCGAAAAUGAAAUCCUUUGCCAGUUUGCCAUUCCAGGGAGGCUAGGUGCUUUAUUCAAGUUCUUGGAUGCUUUCAGUCCCCUUAGGAACUUAAGCAUGUUCCGUUACUGUGGACAACUUUGUGCCUGUUAUGCUGACAAUCUACUUUACUCAUUGUAAUGUUGUUGCAUAAGGCUAAUAUUCCUCGUGUUUUCAUCUUACAAGGGUGAAAGUGGCGUGGAUGCGUUGGUCGGUUUUCAUUUUACAAGCUCUGAGAUAAACAAGUUCAAGGCACAGAGAUAGUAUCUAUGUUCAGUUUAAAAUAAGUGAUAGUACUAGUAUUCAGUUUAAGAAAUAAUGAUAGUGCUGUGUUUAGUUUAAGAAAUAGUCCGUAAUCAUUUCAAAAAUAGUGAUAGUACUAGUGUUCAAUUUAAGAAAUAGUAAUAAUACCAUGUUCAGAUUAAAAAAUAGUCAGUGUUCAAUUUAAGAAAUAGUGAUAGUAUUAUUGUUCAGUUUCAAAAAUAGUGAUAGUACCCGUGUUCAGUUCUA